UACGAAGGGGGCUAGCGUUGUUCGGAAUUACUGGGCGUAAAGCGCGUGUAGGCGGGUCUUUAAGUCAGGGGUGAAAUGCCAAGGCUCAGCCUUGGAACUGCCUUUGAUACUGAGGAUCUUGAGUUCGGGAGAGGUGAGUGGAACUGCGAGUGUAGAGGUGAAAUUCGUAGAUAUUCGCAAGAACACCAGUGGCGAAGGCGGCUCACUGGCCCGAUACUGACGCUGAGGCACGAAAGCGUGGGGAGCAAACAGG
Molecule: ribosomal RNA, 253 nt
Filed under: uncultured bacterium
Lineage: Bacteria
Description: partial 16S ribosomal RNA
Rfam family: Bacterial small subunit ribosomal RNA
Source: RNAcentral